GAUGAACGCUUGCGGCAGGCUUAAUACAUGCAAGUCGAACGGUAACAGGGUCUUCGGACUGCUGACGAGUGGCGGAUGGGUGAGUAACGCGUAUGCAACCUUCCUCACACCGAGAAAAAGUCGACUGAAAAGUUGAAUAAAGUCUCGUGGUGUGCAUUUCUCGCAUGAGAGAUGUAUGAUAGAAGCAAUUUGGUGUGAGAUGGGCAUGCGUAUCAUUAGCUAGUUGGUAAGGUAACGGCUUACCAAGGCGACGAUGAUUAGGGGGCCUGAGAGGGUGGUCCCCCACACUGGGACUGAGACACGGCCCAGACUCCUACGGGAGGCAGCAGUAGGGAAUAUUGGUCAAUGGGCGGAAGCCUGAACCAGCCAUGCCGCAUGAUGGAUGACGGCCUUAGGGUUGUAAACAUCUUUUCUGCUAGAGGAAUAGAGUUCACGCGUGGACAGACGACUGUAUAGCAGGAAUAAGGAUCGGCUAACUCCGUG
RNAcentral lists this ribosomal RNA (483 nucleotides) under uncultured bacterium. Its description in RNAcentral is "partial 16S ribosomal RNA". It matches the Rfam family "Bacterial small subunit ribosomal RNA", at positions 28 to 507 of the family's 1533-position model. The record is from RNAcentral.